RNAcentral lists this ribosomal RNA (484 nucleotides) under uncultured bacterium. Its description in RNAcentral is "partial 16S ribosomal RNA". It matches the Rfam family "Bacterial small subunit ribosomal RNA", at positions 29 to 507 of the family's 1533-position model. The record is from RNAcentral.
AUUGAACGCUAGCGGGAUGCUUUACACAUGCAGGUCGAACGGCCGCGCGGACUUCGGUCUGGCGGCGAGUGGCGAACGGGUGAGUAAUGUAUCGGAACGUGCCCAGUAGCGGGGGAUAACUACGCGAAAGCGUAGCUAAUACCGCAUACGCCCUACGGGGGGAAGCAGGGGAUCGUAAGACCUUGCACUAUUGGAGCGGCCGAUAGCGGAUUAGCUAGUUGGUGAGGUAACGGCUCACCAAGGCGACGAUCCGUAGCUGGUUUGAGAGGACGACCAGCCACACUGGGACUGAGACACGGCCCAGACUCCUACGGGAGGCAGCAGUGGGGAAUUUUGGACAAUGGGGGCAACCCUGAUCCAGCCAUCCCGCGUGUGCGAUGAAGGCCUUCGGGUUGUAAAGCACUUUUGGCAGGAAAGAAACGUCGCGGGCUAAUACCCCGUGGAACUGACGGUACCUGCAGAAUAAGCACCGGCUAACUACGUG